This 441-nucleotide ribosomal RNA is filed under the name uncultured bacterium. Its description in RNAcentral is "bacterial SSU rRNA". It matches the Rfam family "Bacterial small subunit ribosomal RNA", at positions 35 to 485 of the family's 1533-position model. The record is from RNAcentral.
GCUGGCGGUGCGCCUUAUGCAUGCAAGUCGAGCGAAGCUUUUCAGUAGUUUACUACAGAAAAUGACUGAGCGGCGAACGGGUGAGUAACGCGUGAGCAAUCUACCUUAGUUACAGGGAUAGCCCGAGGAAACUCGGAUUAAUACCUGAUAUUCUUUUUAUCUCGCAUGAGAUUUUAAGGAAAGGUCAGCCGAACUAAGAUGAGCUCGCGUUCUAUCAGCUAGUUGGUGAGGUAAUAGCUCACCAAGGCUACGACGGAUAGCUGGUCUGAGAGGACGAUCAGCCACACUGGGACUGAGACACGGCCCAGACUCCUACGGGAGGCUGCAGCAGGGAAUAUUGCGCAAUGAGCGAAAGCUUGACGCAGCGACACCGCGUGUGGGAUGACGGAUCUAGGUUUGUAAACCACUUUCAGGAGGGAAGAAAAUGACGGUACCUCCACA